RNAcentral lists this signal recognition particle RNA (95 nucleotides) under Alphaproteobacteria bacterium. Its description in RNAcentral is "signal recognition particle sRNA small type". It matches the Rfam family "Bacterial small signal recognition particle RNA". Rfam says of the family: The signal recognition particle (SRP) is a universally conserved ribonucleoprotein involved in the co-translational targeting of proteins to membranes. Archaeal SRP consists of a 7S RNA and homologues of the eukaryotic SRP19 and SRP54 proteins. The record is from RNAcentral. Lineage: Bacteria; Pseudomonadati; Pseudomonadota; Alphaproteobacteria.
CACGGGAGUCGGCGGACGGCGCACUUGCGAACUUGGUCAGGUCGGGAACGAAGCAGCCACAGUGAUUUCGCGCCGGGUCGUCGGCUCCUACCCUC